GAUGAACGCUGGCGGCGUGCCUAAUACAUGCAAGUCGAGCGAACAGACGAGGAGCUUGCUCCUCUGACGUUAGCGGCGGACGGGUGAGUAACACGUGGAUAACCUACCUAUAAGACUGGGAUAACUUCGGGAAACCGGAGCUAAUACCGGAUAAUAUAUUGAACCGCAUGGUUCAAUAGUGAAAGACGGUUUUGCUGUCACUUAUAGAUGGAUCCGCGCCGCAUUAGCAGGUUGGUAAGGUAACGGCUUACCAAGGCAACGAUGCGUAGCCGACCUGAGAGGGUGAUCGUCCACACUGGAACUGGGACACGGUCCAGACUCCUACGGGAGGCAGCAGUAGCGAAUCUUCCGCAAUGGGCGAAAGCCUGACGGAGCAACGCCGCGUGAGUGAGGAAGGUCUUCGGAUCGUAAAACUCUGUUAUUAGGGAAGAACAAAUGUGUAAGUAACUAUGCACGUCUUGACGGUACCUAAUCAGAAAGCCACGGCUAACUACGUG
RNAcentral lists this ribosomal RNA (497 nucleotides) under uncultured bacterium. RNAcentral's name for it is "partial 16S ribosomal RNA". It matches the Rfam family "Bacterial small subunit ribosomal RNA", at positions 28 to 507 of the family's 1533-position model. The record is from RNAcentral.